GGUCCAAUGGCGCAACGGUAGCGCAGUGGUUUGCAGUGCCAAAGGUUUCUCGUUCGAAUCGGGAUUGGACCU
This is a non-coding RNA of Teratosphaeria nubilosa, 72 nucleotides long. The record is from the annotation of a GenBank genome assembly. NCBI's taxonomy places the organism in Eukaryota, Fungi, Ascomycota, Dothideomycetes, Mycosphaerellales, Teratosphaeriaceae.